UCUCGGGCGAACGAGUGGACGCGCGCGACCGCGCGUUCUGAGAAAUAUCGUCGGAACUUGAUCGAGGUAAUACUUGCGCAAGGAUCGCCCGAAGAGACGCG
RNAcentral lists this non-coding RNA (101 nucleotides) under Ostreococcus tauri. RNAcentral's name for it is "TPP sequence". It matches the Rfam family "TPP riboswitch aptamer (THI element)". Rfam says of the family: Vitamin B(1) in its active form thiamin pyrophosphate (TPP) is an essential coenzyme that is synthesised by coupling of pyrimidine and thiazole moieties in bacteria. The previously detected thiamin-regulatory element, thi box was extended, resulting in a new, highly conserved RNA secondary structure, the THI element, which is widely distributed in eubacteria and also occurs in some archaea. The record is from Rfam by way of RNAcentral. Lineage: Eukaryota; Viridiplantae; Chlorophyta; Mamiellophyceae; Mamiellales; Bathycoccaceae.